Molecule: ribosomal RNA, 162 nt
Filed under: uncultured bacterium
Lineage: Bacteria
Description: partial 16S rRNA
Rfam family: Bacterial small subunit ribosomal RNA
Source: RNAcentral
UAGGGAAUCUUCCACAAUGGGCGAAAGCCUGAUGGAGCAACGCCGCGUGUGUGAUGAAGGGUUUCGGCUCGUAAAACACUGUUGUAAGAGAAGAAUGACAUUGAGAGUAACUGUUCAAUGUGUGACGGUAUCUUGCCAGAAAGGAACGGCUAAAUACGUGCC